Molecule: ribosomal RNA, 484 nt
Filed under: uncultured bacterium
Lineage: Bacteria
Description: partial 16S ribosomal RNA
Rfam family: Bacterial small subunit ribosomal RNA
Source: RNAcentral
GUUGAACGCUGGCGGCAGGCCUAACACAUGCAAGUCGAGCGGAUGAAGGUAGCUUGCUCCUGGAUUCAGCGGCGGACGGGUGAGUAAUGCCUAGGAAUCUGCCUGGUAGUGGGGGAUAACGUCCGGAAACGGGCGCUAAUACCGCAUACGUACUGCGGGUGAAAGUGGGGGAUCUUCGGACCUCACGCUAUCAGAUGAGCAUAGGUCGGGUUAGCUAGUUGGUGGGGUAAAGGCCUACCAAGGCGACGAUCCGUAACUGGUCUGAGAGGAUGAUCAGUCACCCUGGAACAGAGAGACGGCCCAGACACCGACGGGGGGCAGCAGUGGGGAAUAUUGGGCAAGGGGCGAAAGCCUGAUCCAGCCAUGCGGCGUGUGUGAAGAUGGUCUUCGGAUUGGAAAGCACUUUAAGUUGGGAGGAAGGGCAGUACGUUAAUACCUUGCUGUUUUGACGUUACCAACAGAAUAAGCACCGGCUAACUUCGUG